GACGAACGCUGGCGGCGUGCCUAAUACAUGCAAGUAGAACGCUGAAGGAGGAGCUUGCUUCUCUGGAUGAGUUGCGAACGGGUGAGUAACGCGUAGGUAACCUGCCUGUUAGCGGGGGAUAACUAUUGGAAACGAUAGCUAAUACCGCAUAAUAGUGACUAUUGCAUGAUAGUCAGUGGAAAGGUUCAACUGCACCACUACCAGAUGGACCUGCGUCGUUUUAGCUAGUUGGUGGGGUAACGGAUCACCAAGGCGACGAUACAUAGCCGACCGGCGAGGGGGGUCGGCCACCCUGGGACGGAGACACGGCACAGAGUGCUUGGGGAGGCAGCAGUAGGGAAUCGUCGGCCAUGGACGGAAGUCUGAGCGAGCAAGGCCGAGUGCGUGAAGAACGUUUUCGGAUCGUAAAGCUCUGUUGUCAGAGAAGAAAGAGUGUGAGAGUGGAAAGAUCAGAGUGUGACGGUAACUUACAAGAAAGCGACGGCUAACUACGUG
Molecule: ribosomal RNA, 495 nt
Filed under: uncultured bacterium
Lineage: Bacteria
Description: partial 16S ribosomal RNA
Rfam family: Bacterial small subunit ribosomal RNA
Source: RNAcentral